GCCCGAGGAGGCAAUCGUUAUCCGGAAUUAUUGGGCGUAAAGCGUCCGUAGGUGGUUUGGCAAGUCUGGGGUUAAAGCCCGGAGCCUAACUCCGGAUCGGCCCUGGAAACUGCCAGACUAGAGUAAGGUAGGGGUUGCGGGAAUUCCCGGUGUAGCGGUGAAAUGCGUAGAUAUCGGGAAGAACACCAGUGGCGAAAGCGCGCAACUGGGCCAUUACUGACACUGAGGGACGAAAGCUAGGGGAGAGAAUGGG
Molecule: ribosomal RNA, 253 nt
Filed under: uncultured bacterium
Lineage: Bacteria
Description: partial 16S ribosomal RNA
Rfam family: Bacterial small subunit ribosomal RNA
Source: RNAcentral